RNAcentral lists this small nuclear RNA (157 nucleotides) under Myotis brandtii (Brandt's bat). Its description in RNAcentral is "U1 spliceosomal RNA". It matches the Rfam family "U1 spliceosomal RNA". Rfam says of the family: U1 is a small nuclear RNA (snRNA) component of the spliceosome (involved in pre-mRNA splicing). Its 5' end forms complementary base pairs with the 5' splice junction, thus defining the 5' donor site of an intron. There are significant differences in sequence and secondary structure between metazoan and yeast U1 snRNAs, the latter being much longer (568 nucleotides as compared to 164 nucleotides in human). The record is from Rfam by way of RNAcentral. Lineage: Eukaryota; Metazoa; Chordata; Mammalia; Chiroptera; Vespertilionidae.
GUAGCUACCUGGCAGGGGAGGACCAUGAUCAGAAGGUGGUUCUCCCAGGGCGAGGCUUGUCCCUUGCGCUCCAGGUGUGCUGACUCCUGCCAUUUCCCCAUGGGAAACGUGACCGAUCACUUGUGGUAGUGGGGGACUGCGUUCGCGCUCUCCCCUG